This 425-nucleotide ribosomal RNA is filed under the name uncultured bacterium. Its description in RNAcentral is "bacterial SSU rRNA". It matches the Rfam family "Bacterial small subunit ribosomal RNA", at positions 354 to 796 of the family's 1533-position model. The record is from RNAcentral.
GUUAGGAAUAUUGGACAAUGGGCGCAAGCCUGAUCCAGCCAUGCCGCGUGAGUGAUGAAGGCCUUCGGGUUGUAAAGCUCUUUAGCCGAUGAUUAUAAUGACUGUAGUCGGAAAAUAAGCCCCGGCUAACUUCGUGCCAGCAGCCGCGGUAAUACGAAGGGGGCGAGCGUUAUUCGGAAUCACUGGGCGUAAAGCGUGCGUAGGCGGCUUUGCAAGUUGGGAGUGAAAGCCCAGGGCUCAAACCUGGAAUUGCUCUCAAAACUGCAAGGCUCGAAUUCGGGAGAGGAUAGCGGAAUUGUCAGUGUAGCAGUGAAAUGCGUAGAUAUUGACAGGAACACCAGUGGCGUAAGCGGCUAUCUGGACCGAUAUUGACGCUGAGGCACGAAAGCGUGGGGAUCAAACAGGAUUAGAAACCCCGGUAGUCC